CCUACGGGAGGCAGCAGUGGGGAAUAUUGCGCAAUGGGCGAAAGCCUGACGCAGCGACGCCGCGUGAGGGAUGAAGGUCUUCGGAUCGUAAACCUCUGUCCGCAGGGAAGAACGGUCACUGUGCUAAUCAGCCGUGAAUUGACGGUACCUGCAAAGGAAGCACCGGCUAACUCCGUGCCAGCAGCCGCGGUAAUACGGAGGGGUCGAGCGUUAAUCGGAAUUACUGGGCGUAAAGCGCUCGUAGGCGGUAGUUCAAGUCAAGGGUGAAAUCCCCGCGCUCAACGUGGGAACUGCCUUUGACACUGGCAAACUGUAGUGUGUGAGAGGAUAGUGGAAUUCCAGGUGUAGGAGUGAAAUCCGUAGAUAUCUGGAGGAACAUCAGUGGCGAAGGCGACUAUCUGGCACAUAACUGACGCUGAGGAGCGAAAGCGUGGGUAGCAAACAGGAUUAGAUACCCCUGUAGUC
Molecule: ribosomal RNA, 465 nt
Filed under: uncultured bacterium
Lineage: Bacteria
Description: partial 16S ribosomal RNA
Rfam family: Bacterial small subunit ribosomal RNA
Source: RNAcentral